RNAcentral lists this transfer RNA (76 nucleotides) under Chryseobacterium artocarpi. RNAcentral's name for it is "tRNA-Gln". It matches the Rfam family "tRNA". From Rfam's summary of the family: Transfer RNA (tRNA) molecules are approximately 80 nucleotides in length. Their secondary structure includes four short double-helical elements and three loops (D, anti-codon, and T loops). Further hydrogen bonds mediate the characteristic L-shaped molecular structure. tRNAs have two regions of fundamental functional importance: the anti-codon, which is responsible for specific mRNA codon recognition, and the 3' end, to which the tRNAs corresponding amino acid is attached (by aminoacyl-tRNA synthetases). tRNAs cope with the degeneracy of the genetic code in two manners: having more than one tRNA (with a specific anti-codon) for a particular amino acid; and 'wobble' base-pairing, i.e. permitting non-standard base-pairing at the 3rd anti-codon position. Lineage: Bacteria; Pseudomonadati; Bacteroidota; Flavobacteriia; Flavobacteriales; Weeksellaceae. The record is from RNAcentral.
UGAUUUAUAGUGUAAUUGGUCAGCACACAAGAUUUUGAUUCUUGGAGUUUAGGUUCGAGUCCUAAUGAAUUAACAA